CCUACGGGUGGCAGCAGUCGAGAAUCAUUCACAAUGGGGGAAACCCUGAUGGUGCGACGCCGCGUGGGGGAAUGAAGGUCUUCGGAUUGUAAACCCCUGUCAUGUGGGAGCAAAUUAAAAAGAUAGUACCACAAGAGGAAGAGACGGCUAACUCUGUGCCAGCAGCCGCGGUAAUACAGAGGGCUCAAGCGUUGUUCGGAAUCACUGGGCGUAAAGCGUGCGUAGGCUGUUUCGUAAGUCGUGUGUGAAAGGCGCGGACUCAACCCGCGGACGGCACAUGAUACUGAGAGAAUAGAGUAAUGGAGGGGGAACCGGAAUGCUCGGUGUAGCAGUGAAAUGCGUAGAUAUCGAGAGGAACACUCGUGGCGAAGGCGGGUUCCUGGACAUUAACUGACGCUGAGGCACGAAGGCCAGGGGAGCGAAAGGGAUUAGAUACCCCAGUAGUC
RNAcentral lists this ribosomal RNA (446 nucleotides) under uncultured bacterium. Its description in RNAcentral is "partial 16S ribosomal RNA". It matches the Rfam family "Bacterial small subunit ribosomal RNA", at positions 338 to 795 of the family's 1533-position model. The record is from RNAcentral.